This 348-nucleotide ribosomal RNA is filed under the name Rhombophryne sp. 3 MV-2009. RNAcentral's name for it is "partial 12S ribosomal RNA". It matches the Rfam family "Bacterial small subunit ribosomal RNA", at positions 864 to 1384 of the family's 1533-position model. The record is from RNAcentral. Lineage: Eukaryota; Metazoa; Chordata; Amphibia; Anura; Microhylidae.
AACAGCCGCCAGGGAAUUACGAGUCCACCUUAAAACCCAAAGGACUUGACGGUGUCCCACCCACCUAGAGGAGCCUGUUCUAUAAUCGACACCCCCCGAUACACCUCACCACCCCUAGCACACCAGUCUGUAUACCUCCGUCGUAAGCUUACCAUGUGAACGUCACCAGUGAGCCUAAAGAUUUAUCACCAACACGUCAGGUCAAGGUGCAACUAACGGGAUGGAAAGCAAUGGGCUACAAUUUCUACCUUAGAACACACGAAAAACUAUAUGAAACACAGUCAUGAAGGAGGAUUUAGUAGUAAAAAGAAAACAGAGAGUUCUUUUUAAUUAGGCACUGGGACGCGU